RNAcentral lists this ribosomal RNA (316 nucleotides) under Veillonella sp. oral taxon E88. RNAcentral's name for it is "bacterial SSU rRNA". It matches the Rfam family "Bacterial small subunit ribosomal RNA", at positions 184 to 474 of the family's 1533-position model. Lineage: Bacteria; Bacillati; Bacillota; Negativicutes; Veillonellales; Veillonellaceae. The record is from RNAcentral.
CUCGGCAUCGAGGAUAGAUUAAAAGGUGGCCUCUACAUUUAAGCUAUCACUGAAGGAGGGGAUUGCGUCUGAUUAGCUAGUUGGAGGGGGUAACCGCCCCCCCAAGGCGAUGAUCAGUAGCCGGUCUGAGAGGAUGAACAGCCACAUUGGGACUGAGACACGGCCCAGACUCCUACGGGAGGCAGCAGUGGGGAAUCUUCCGCAAUGGACGAAAGUCUGACGGAGCAACGCCGCGUGAGUGAUGACCGGCUUCGGGUUGUAAAGCUCUGUUAAUCGGGACGAAAGGCCUUCUUGCGAAUAGUGAGAAGGAUAGACG